AGACCGAUAGCGAACAAGUAGAGUGAUCGAAAGAUGAAAAGCACUUUGGAAAGAUAGUUAAACAGUACGUGAAAUUGUUGAAAGGGAAGCGCUUGCAAUCAGACUUGCACUUGGUGUUCAUCAGGGUCUCGUACCCUGUGUACUUCAUCAAGUUCAGGCCAGCAUCAGUUUGAGUGGUUAGAUAAAGGCUUAGAGAAUGUGGCCCUCUUCGGGGGGUGUUAUAGCUCUAGGUGCAAUGUAGCCUACUUGGACUGAGGACCGCGCUUCGGCUAGGAUGCUGGCGUAAUGGUUGUAAGCGACCCGUCUUGAAACACGGACCAAGA
This 323-nucleotide ribosomal RNA is filed under the name Botrytis sp. RNAcentral's name for it is "partial large subunit ribosomal RNA". It matches the Rfam family "Eukaryotic large subunit ribosomal RNA", at positions 331 to 671 of the family's 3401-position model. The record is from RNAcentral. Lineage: Eukaryota; Fungi; Ascomycota; Leotiomycetes; Helotiales; Sclerotiniaceae.